RNAcentral lists this ribosomal RNA (253 nucleotides) under uncultured bacterium. Its description in RNAcentral is "partial 16S ribosomal RNA". It matches the Rfam family "Bacterial small subunit ribosomal RNA", at positions 524 to 776 of the family's 1533-position model. The record is from RNAcentral.
UACGAAGGGGGCUAGCGUUGUUCGGAAUUACUGGGCGUAAAGGGCGCGCAGGCGGUCCUUCAAGUCAGGCGUGAAAGCCCCGGGCUCAACCUGGGAAUCGCGCUUGAGACUGAGGGACUUGAGUUCGGGAGAGGAGAGCGGAAUUCCCAGUGUAGAGGUGAAAUGCGUAGAUAUCUGGAGGAACACCGGUGGCGAAGGCGGCAUCCUGGACCGAUACUGACGCUGAGGAGCGAAAGCCAGGGGAGCAAACGGG